CAGUCGCCACGGGAAUACGAAGGGGGCUAGCGUUGCUCGGAAUGACUGGGCGUAAAGGGCGCGUAGGCGGCGGCCAAAGUCAGGCGUGAAAUUCCCGGGCUCAACCUGGGGGCUGCGUUUGAUACUUGGUUGCUUGAGUGGGGAAGAGGGUCGUGGAAUUCCCAGUGUAGAGGUGAAAUUCGUAGAUAUUGGGAAGAACACCGGUGGCGAAGGCGGCGACCUGGUCCUUUACUGACGCUGAGGCGCGAAAGCGUGGGGAGCAAACAGGAUUAGAGACCCCUGUAGUCCCUGUCUCUUAUAC
This 301-nucleotide ribosomal RNA is filed under the name uncultured bacterium. RNAcentral's name for it is "partial 16S ribosomal RNA". It matches the Rfam family "Bacterial small subunit ribosomal RNA", at positions 509 to 807 of the family's 1533-position model. The record is from RNAcentral.